AUGGUUGUGGGCGAUCCUUUCCCACUUACUGCCCACUGUGGGCUUGGCAGAGGCCAUAGAUAUGCAGGCGGGGUUGCAGGUACAUUUAUAUAUCUGCAUUGCAGAUACACAGCCUGGGCCUGGAGAGAGCUGCACAGCUACAGCCAUGCGGGCAGACCACGACACAGAGGCAGUUUUAGUUUCCCUUUUGUCUGCCUUGAAGAGAGGGGAACUGGAAGAACGUACAGCAGGUCCUUCUUGCUACAUCAUAUUAUUAUGAUCAUUACCACUAUUGUUAUGGAAGUGCCUGGAAGCCUUAAUCAAGGGUGCAGCUCCACUGUGCUAACGGUGUACCCUCAGAAUGACAGGUGUCUCUUAUUCCUACAAGAAAUGCUCUAAGACCCUGAUUUUGGAAAGCCUUCGCAGCUCCAGAGAGCCUACAGAGAUGUGCCCAGCAGCUGAAGCAUAUGCUAAGGCCAGUGGAUUUAAACACAUGUGUAAGUGCUUCUCUGCAUCCAGGCUUAAGCAAAUACAUGACACUGUAGCAGAAGUUAAGACUGAGGUUUUUCCAAGCCAGAUGUUUCCACAGCCUUUUUCUGAGCCCGCUGUACGCAGCAAUAACCCACCGCCCCUCAGCUUCAGACCCUAACAUGUUAGAGAGCCCUUGUUUAAAGAAACCUUCUUAAUACUAAAUACAAGAAUGAAAGAAGCAAUAUAAAACUCAAAGGUCAGCUGUACGCAGCAAUAACCCACCGCCCCUCAGCUUCAGACCCUAACAUGUUAGAGAGCCCUUGUUUAAAGAAACCUUCUUAAUACUAAAUACAAGAAUGAAAGAAGCAAUAUAAAACUCAAAGGUCAGAAUUGUCAGUCUCUUGCUGAUGGAGAGGAAGGAACUGGAAACCUCCACGUAUGAACACUUUCAAGUAAAGCAGAAUUCACCCUCCCCUCUCUAUGUAGGGGCACUCACGCCAAGAACCAACCCAGACCAAUACUCCAUGGAGGUCCUAUUUCUUUUGCGGAUUUUAACUGAUCUUUGCUACAAAUAAAUGCAUGAAAAACGAAAUAAAAUCA
RNAcentral lists this long non-coding RNA (1050 nucleotides) under Struthio camelus australis. RNAcentral describes it as "lncRNA (ENSSCUG00000017857.1)". Lineage: Eukaryota; Metazoa; Chordata; Aves; Struthioniformes; Struthionidae. The record is from RNAcentral.